CCCUUGCUUCUCAUCAUCCACAAAAUAUGUGGCGUACCGUCCUGCUAAUGGUGCUGGUGAUGGUUGUGAUGGCGGUCACAGCCAACCACGUCCACCGGAAACGACCUUCAGAUGACUGGCCAGAAUUUAAUUUCGAACCUGUCAAAUAAUACGAACACAUCUUCACCACUCCACCAGUGACGACGUCCCCACCACCACCACCAUGGACGACCUCCUCUUCCCUCCCAUCUCUCCUUCCUUUCUUUCCCUGAACCACACCCCCAAAACAUUAGAAAUAUUGGCAUCACCUUUGUACCUCUGAUUUAGCCACAAACACACACACACAGAUGACCGAGGUUCGAUUCCCCGGCCGGGUGGAGAUAUUUGGGUGUGUCUCCUUUCACGUGUAGCCCCUGUUCACCUAGCAGUGAGUAGGUACGGGAUGU
Molecule: long non-coding RNA, 425 nt
Organism: Portunus trituberculatus (swimming crab)
Lineage: Eukaryota; Metazoa; Arthropoda; Malacostraca; Decapoda; Portunidae
Exons: 3
Source: RefSeq, a predicted model, not a curated record